CACCUGCACAGGUGCUGCAUGGCUGUCGUCAGCUCGUGUCGUGAGAUGUUGGGUUAAGUCCCGCAACGAGCGCAACCCUUAUCCCUAGUUGCCAUCAGGUAAAGCUGGGAACUCUGGGGAGACUGCCGGUGAUAAACCGGAGGAAGGCGGGGAUGACGUCAAGUCCUCAUGGCCCUUACAUCCCGGGCUACACACGUGCUACAAUGGCAGGUACAGAGGGCUGCGAAGCCGCGAGGUGGAGCGAAUCCCAGAAAACCUGUCUCAGUCCGGAUUGAAGUCUGCAACUCGACUUCAUGAAGGCGGAAUCGCUAGUAACCGCGAAUCAGCAGGUCGCGGCGAAUACGUUCCCGGGCCUU
Molecule: ribosomal RNA, 356 nt
Filed under: uncultured Latescibacterota bacterium
Lineage: Bacteria; Pseudomonadati; Candidatus Latescibacterota
Description: bacterial SSU rRNA
Rfam family: Bacterial small subunit ribosomal RNA
Source: RNAcentral